Non-coding RNA from Mycena epipterygia, 92 nucleotides. The record is from the annotation of a GenBank genome assembly. NCBI's taxonomy places the organism in Eukaryota, Fungi, Basidiomycota, Agaricomycetes, Agaricales, Mycenaceae.
GGCUUGGUAGCGCUCGGAGCGCCUCUGCCGUUCAUUCAUAGUUUGCCGACAAUUGGCAGCAGACGGAGCCCGUUCGACUCGGGCCCAAGCCA